CAAACCCUAGAUUCUUGAAAACUCAAGAAAGGAGAAAACUGGGGUGUGUGGAUUUUGUCAGAAAGAGUGAUUGUUGAACCUUGGAAAUUCUGUUGCUACCAUUUUAGCGGGAUUUGAGGUAAUGUUGAAGAGCAAGUUCGUGAAACUCAUGCGGAGUAGGAGAGCUUGCUACUUUUUGGACUAUUUGGUGAGUCCACAUGCUUAUUCGUGGGGCACUAUUCUAUCUUAGUAUUGUUUAAUUUCCGGGCUAUGUCCCCAAGUUAUAUUAUGUUAUAUUUAUCAUCUUAGAGGCUCCAUAAAUAGACGUUAAUUCUGUAGGUAAUUGUCGAAGUCACUGCUUGACUCUUUG
This is a long non-coding RNA of Lycium barbarum (goji berry), 349 nucleotides long. RefSeq lists it as uncharacterized. The transcript is spliced from 3 exons. The record is from RefSeq and is a predicted model, not a curated record. NCBI's taxonomy places the organism in Eukaryota, Viridiplantae, Streptophyta, Magnoliopsida, Solanales, Solanaceae.